This 471-nucleotide ribosomal RNA is filed under the name uncultured bacterium. RNAcentral's name for it is "bacterial SSU rRNA". It matches the Rfam family "Bacterial small subunit ribosomal RNA", at positions 30 to 497 of the family's 1533-position model. The record is from RNAcentral.
AUUGAACGCUGGCGGCAUGCCUUACACAUGCAAGUCGAACGGCAGCGGGCCUUCGGGUGCCGGCGAGUGGCGAACGGGUGAGUAAUGCAUCGGAACGUGCCAUUGAGUGGGGGAUAACGUAGCGAAAGUUACGCUAAUACCGCAUAUUCUGUGAGCAGGAAAGCAGGGGACCGCAAGGCCUUGCGCUCUUUGAGCGGCCGAUGUCAGAUUAGCUAGUUGGUGAGGUAAAGGCUUACCAAGGCGACGAUCUGUAGCGGGUCUGAGAGGAUGAUCCGCCACACUGGAACUGAGACACGGUCCAGACUCCUACGGGAGGCAGCAGUGGGGAAUUUUGGACAAUGGGGGAAACCCUGAUCCAGCAAUGCCGCGUGUGUGACGAAGGCCUCGGUUGUAAGCACUUUGUCGGAACGGAAACGGACGGCUUCUAAUACAGAGUGCUAAUGACGGUACCCGCCAGAAUAAGACACCGGC